Zingiber officinale is the source of this 682-nucleotide long non-coding RNA. RefSeq lists it as uncharacterized. The record is from RefSeq and is a predicted model, not a curated record. The transcript is spliced from 4 exons. Lineage: Eukaryota; Viridiplantae; Streptophyta; Magnoliopsida; Zingiberales; Zingiberaceae.
CUUCAGGGGGAGCUUCAGAUCACGGGAUCGACAAGGUAAGUCAGGUUCAGAACAAAGUAUUAGUUUUGAGAGAAAUAAUAACAACAGACCAGCUAGUGGAGGGACCGUUCAAGUUGUUUGAUACUGAAAAUAACACUGUUACUGAGUCAACCUUCUGUGGCAAAUGGGUACUCAUGUACUUGGGUUACACUUCAUCACCUGAUGCUGGUCCAAGACAAGUUAAAAAAUGGCUGACGUUAUGAAAAUACUAGCUCUCACUUCCUUUCGUGCUCCCAAGAAUUUGAUCAUAGGAAUAACAGGUCCUGAAUCUGCUAUAAGACAGACUACACGGGGGUUGGUUCCGCGUAUACCACAAGGGAUGCCAUGCCUUCACAAUUCGGGUACCUACUAGAUUCAAAUAUGGAGAUGGUUAGAUUCUUUGGAGCAGAAUAUGAUCCACAACAAUUAGCUGAGGCCAUAAAGAUGGAGGUAAACACGAGUUCGAGAUGAACAAACAACUAUCUUUUGUAAGAACCUUUGGGCUCCCAUUUUGUGUGUAUGUUUCAGUCGUCCAUAAAGUAUGAUCAAAUUUAAAUUGCAUUGAUAGAGAGGCCCAAUCAGAUUUGGUCAGGAAUGUUCAUCAGAUUCAUGUUGGAAUUUACAUUUUGUUGUUUACCGGCAUUCUAGGCAACUAGGGCUCAAU